GGAUUAACACAGUGGCUGAACACCGGGAAGGAACUGGCACUUGGAGUCCGGACAUCUGAAACUUGGACUGUGAAUGCAGCCCAUGAAAAAGAGGGUUUUCGGAAGCUUGACAUUUAUGAGGGUGAGGAGUUGACAAGCCGACAUCAGUCUCCAGAGUGAAUCCAAGGAGUGGACCCAAGACAUUUGUGUUCUGUGAUGUGGUGGCAUGUUACCUGUCAUCUCUGAUGCAUAACUCCUAAAGUGUUUGCGUCUGGGGCAGUUGUACAGAUUGCAAAGGAUAAUACUCAAGAUGUCCUCCAAGGCCAACUACUCAUCAGUUUAUUCAUGUUUCUGGGACUGGAUUCAUGAAUUCAUCCUUUCAACUAUUUCAACAAGCUUUUUCAUGUAACUAAUCUGUGGAAGGUAGAAAGGGGAAAACUGUUGGGUGCUAAAAUGACAACUGGUUCAAGGUACAAUGGCGAAUAUUUUUAUUUCUGCAACUUUUCUUAGAGGUUGGAAACUAGACUGGGCAGGAAGAUUCCUUUUUGUAAGAUUAGUCUCCAGUUUUCAUCAAGCAGUUUAGUGGGGUAUUUUAGGCCCAGUUCCCUCUCCACAGUCCCCAAAGGUCUUCUGUUAACUUUAAAUCAGCAAAGAGAGAGAUCUCUGCCAAGUAGCAACUGCAAGAGCAUGUGGGUCAAAGUUACCAGCAGACACUCAAAGCCCAUUCCCUUUACUUCAACACCGCUUUAUAAAUUAUUUUAGAGACGUUGUCAGGUUGGUAUCAGAGGUGAGUGGUCAUGACUUCAUGAUUUCUCAUCUUUCUGAAUGCAUAGUGGCUGGGAGUGGUGGCUCAUGCCUGUAAUCCCAGCACUUUGGGAGGCC
This 861-nucleotide long non-coding RNA is filed under the name Pan troglodytes (chimpanzee). RNAcentral describes it as "lincRNA". The record is from RNAcentral. Lineage: Eukaryota; Metazoa; Chordata; Mammalia; Primates; Hominidae.